AGCUCCACCGGGUCGACACCGCGGGUGACGACGAGGUAGUCGCGCAUCACGAUCGAGUGACGCAUCUC
Molecule: small RNA, 68 nt
Filed under: Gordonia malaquae
Lineage: Bacteria; Bacillati; Actinomycetota; Actinomycetes; Mycobacteriales; Gordoniaceae
Also listed under: 1 other name
Description: ASdes TB sRNA
Rfam family: ASdes TB sRNA
Source: RNAcentral